GAUGAACGCUGGCGGCGUGCCUAAUACAUGCAAGUCGAACGAACAGGCCCGGAUCUUGCUCCUUUGACGUUAGCGGCGGAGGUGUGAAUCACACGUAGAUCCCCUACCUAUAAGACUGAGAUCACUUCGGAAAACCGGCGCUAAUCCCAGAGAAUAUUUCGCUCCACAUGGUUCGAUGGUGAAAGAUGGCUUUGCUGUCACUUCUCGCUGCUCCUGCGCCGUAUGAGGUGGUUGUUAAGGUAACGGCUUAGCACGGCAACGAUUCGUAGGCGACGGAAGAGAGUGAUCGGCCACAUGGGAACGGAGACACGGUCAAGACUCCUAAGGGAGGCAGCAGUAGGGAACGUGACGCAAUGGGCGAAAGCCUUACGGAGUAACGGGGAGUGAGUGACGAAGGUCUUCGGAGCGUAAAACUCGGCUACUAGGGAAGAACAAAUGUGUAAUGAAAUGUGCACGGCGUGACGGUACCUAAUCAGAAAGCCACGGCUAACUACGUG
Molecule: ribosomal RNA, 497 nt
Filed under: uncultured bacterium
Lineage: Bacteria
Description: partial 16S ribosomal RNA
Rfam family: Bacterial small subunit ribosomal RNA
Source: RNAcentral